GACUCCGGAUCAGGUCCGACACCUAAUAAGCUUUAGGACUACCAGCGAGGAGAAUUUUACUAAGAAGAAAUAUGCUGCUAAACCACUGUGGGAGAAACUCAUCAAAGAGCUGGAACUGGAGGGAAAGGUGACCACAGCACAAAUUGGCAAAAAAUGGGAAAAUCUUAAAAAAAAUAUAAGAACACUUUGGAAGACGCCAGCACAUCGGCCUCAAGCUCUGCCUCACCAGCUGGAAGAGGAAGCUGGAAGCUUCAGGCAUCAGGUCCACUUUCCCCCCGAUCCCCCCAAAAAAAGAAAUUCUCUAUGCAGGACUUCCUUCAAGCUGAGGCCGCCAAAGAAGACAGAAGAUGUCAAAAGAAUGAAGAACACAUGGACAGGUUCCUGAACCUUUUAGAGAAAAUGGUGGACCAGACACCUCAUCAGCAGUAGCAGCACAUACACUGCAAAUUUUUUUUUUUGUACAUAUUUCUGUGCAAAUUUUUUUAUAUGGA
Molecule: long non-coding RNA, 491 nt
Organism: Cololabis saira (Pacific saury)
Lineage: Eukaryota; Metazoa; Chordata; Actinopteri; Beloniformes; Belonidae
Exons: 3
Source: RefSeq, a predicted model, not a curated record